GACAGAGGCCCCGAGCGUUAGGCGGAAUCACUGGGCUUAAAGCGUGUGUAGGCGGGCCCGUAAGUGUCUUGUGAAAUCCCCCGGCUCAACCGGGGAACGGCUGGGCAUACUGCGGGCCUCGGGCCGACUAGGGGUUGCCGGAACAAGCGGUGGAGCGGUGAAAUGCGUAGAUAUGCGGAGGAACACCGAUGGCGAAGGCAAUCCCCUGGGCCUGCACUGACGCUCAUGCACGAAAGCGUGGGGAGCAAACAGG
This 253-nucleotide ribosomal RNA is filed under the name uncultured bacterium. RNAcentral describes it as "partial 16S ribosomal RNA". It matches the Rfam family "Bacterial small subunit ribosomal RNA", at positions 524 to 776 of the family's 1533-position model. The record is from RNAcentral.